Molecule: long non-coding RNA, 254 nt
Filed under: Brassica napus (rape)
Lineage: Eukaryota; Viridiplantae; Streptophyta; Magnoliopsida; Brassicales; Brassicaceae
Description: long non-coding RNA (BNAP_LNC017881)
Source: RNAcentral
UGUGGGCUCGCCCUUGUCUAGAAACUUUGAUUGAUUGAUGAACAUCAACAGGUUGGGCCACGUGAAAUUAUAUGAAAUACAACCACAUAAAGAGAGAGAUGAGUCAAUAUUCCCAUAUUUCUAGUUUGUCUAGUUUAAUUUUAAUAUUUCCAAUGACUAACAAACGACAUUUGUAUCAUCAAGUUAUUUUUAUAGAUUCAGCAUUGAGUAUCCAAGUUCUAUCAUUCAGCGGCGAACAUGCCACUUCCUAAAGA